RNAcentral lists this ribosomal RNA (644 nucleotides) under uncultured bacterium. Its description in RNAcentral is "bacterial SSU rRNA". The stretch from base 1 to 544 matches the Rfam family "Bacterial small subunit ribosomal RNA", at positions 338 to 873 of the family's 1533-position model. The record is from RNAcentral.
CCUACGGGAGGCAGCAGUAGGGAAUCUUCCACAAUGGGCGAAAGCCUGAUGGAGCAACGCCGCGUGAGUGAUGAAGGCCUUCGGGUUGUAAAACUCUGUCAUUCGGGACGAACCGGAGUCUGAGGAAAUGCAGACUCUCUGACGGUACCGGAGGAGGAAGCCCCGGCUAACUACGUGCCAGCAGCCGCGGUAAUACGUAGGGGGCAAGCGUUGUCCGGAUUCACUGGGCGUAAAGCGCGCGCAGGCGGUGAUGUAAGUCUGAGGUGAAAACCCGAAGCUCAACUUCGGGACUGCCUUGGAUACUGCGUCACUUGAGGAUAGGAGAGGCAAGGGGAAUUCCACGUGUAGCGGUGAAAUGCGUAGAGAUGUGGAGGAACACCUGUGGCGAAGGCGCCUUGCUGGCCUAUUUCUGACGCUGAGGCGCGAAAGCGUGGGGAGCAAACAGGAUUAGAUACCCUGGUAGUCCACGCUGUAAACGAUGAGUGCUAGGUGUAGGUGGGCUCAUACCACUCUGUGCGACGACUACGACAUAAGACACNCCGCCGUCGGGAGGUACGGUCGCGAGACGUAGAAACGUUAAAGUUAGUAGUUAGUACGGACGUUAGGAGACGNGGCCGACGGACGACGACGAGGGGAGGUUAGGG